UACUAUCUGGGAUCAUUUUACUGACCGUACUCUUGACCUUUCUCUUCUUUGAGCAUUCCGAAGAACUAUUCAUCCAGUUAUUUCAGCCGAUCCUCCUGUCUCAUCACCAAGAGAAGAAAUAAAAGAGGCUUCUGAGGUCAGGCCUCUUUUUUUUGUAAUGUACUCAUUUCUAUUUCAACUUUCUUUUCAAUAUUCCAAAUACUUAUUUUCUUUUUUCUGCAGUCAACUCCAGUUUCUUCAUCGGUCCCAGCUUCAGAAAAAAGUCCGAUUGAGACCGCUCAAUUUACUCCUCCGCCGCCCUCA
Molecule: long non-coding RNA, 303 nt
Filed under: Ananas comosus (pineapple)
Lineage: Eukaryota; Viridiplantae; Streptophyta; Magnoliopsida; Poales; Bromeliaceae
Description: long non-coding RNA (ACOM_LNC044434)
Source: RNAcentral